Molecule: long non-coding RNA, 1568 nt
Filed under: Marmota monax (woodchuck)
Lineage: Eukaryota; Metazoa; Chordata; Mammalia; Rodentia; Sciuridae
Source: RNAcentral
CUGAGGUGGGAAGGGAGAUUCGUAUCCACAACAAACUCAAUCCUACUGUUAGGACUUUUAGAUUUCCAUAUCCAUGCAUUAUUUCUUAUACACAGGAGAACCUAAUUAGUAUUAAAAUGUGUUCUUAGACUUCAAAAAUUCAUAGGCUUUUGCACAAAAAAAGAAAGGUUCAGGCACGUAUAAUCCAGCCCUCGAGCUAAGCACCCAUUAAAACACAAUGUUCUACUGUAUCAUCAGUGAUGUUAGAAACACCAAUCUAACUACUAAAAGUGAACAGAAGCAGUUUAUGUCUUUAUCGAGGUUUAAGGAUGACAGAGAAUGUUCCACUUCAGAAUACCCACUUCUGUAGUUUAGAUCUGGAAUAUCCCCUCAAGGCCCAGUUGUUGAAAGCUUGAUCCCCAACCUGUGGCACUAUCGGCAGGUAGUGGAACUUUUAAGAGGCGGAGCCUAGUGGGAGGAAGUUAGGUAACUGGGGGUGUCCUUAAAGGGGAUGCUCAAUAUGGGAUCCUGGUCCCUUGCAUUUUUUGCUUGCCGGACACCAUGAGGUGAACAGUCUCUUCCACCCUGUGAUUCCACCAUGAUGUUCUGUGCGGCCACAGACCCAAAGCAACAGGGCCGAUGACUGAGGACUGAAACCUCUGAAACAGUGAACCAAAAUAAGCUUUCCUUCUGUAGGUUGGUUAUCUCAGGUAUUCUGUCACAGUGAUGGCAAGCUGACUACCACUCCUACCAACAGUCCUUGUAAUAGUGUGACGCCAAAGGUCCUGCUGCUGUGCUGCAUCCCUCUCCUGAGGCCGCUCUCUUACGCCCUCUUCCUCCCAGAGCCUCCAUAGACCUCCACUGCCCACACUGGUAAGUCGGCCUCUGCGCAGAUGACCUCCCACUCUCCUGUCCAUCAUCCUGGAUUAUGAACCAUAGAGACCAGCGCUGAACACUCAGUCCAAACAGUUGAGCAACAAGCAAGCAAAACUCCCGCCUUCUCCAGUGGUAAGUGGACUGUGGACAGUGACAGUUUCUUCUCACGUGCCACCGAUUCAUUCCACUUUUCUGUGCCACUCUUUCUCCUACAACGAGAAUGGCUUUGCUGAAUGAUCUCCUGGGGAUAAUCUUUUAACUCUUGCAAUUAAACCAAUUAUCAACUUAAGGGCCAAUGUUUACUUACUAUAAUAUAGAAGCUUACUUAAUUAAAAAAAAAUUACCCUUGGGUAGAAACAUAGCCUGAAUUUAUGCAAAUUAUAUGAAAUAGUGACUCACAUAGGGAUGAGAGAUAGUUACACCCUGCAAAGGCUGACAGAACUUAGCUAACCUCUGGGGGCAUGUGUCACCCCAGACUGCCACAUCAGGGCUUCAGGAGGUAGGACAGGAGGCUGGAACUUUCCACAUCUCCCCAGGCACUCUAGCAAGUGAGUGCAGUCAAGACGGCAGUAUAGAGCCCUUAGCUGUCAAUCAUAGCCUUCUUUCUUCCCAAAGUGAAUAUUUUAGAGGCUACUUCAGACUGAGUCAAACCUACAUUUCCCCAACAAUCACAGGUGCUAACAAACAGUAAGGAAUUAGGGGGGAAAUAAUCU